This 1507-nucleotide ribosomal RNA is filed under the name Streptococcus mutans. RNAcentral's name for it is "bacterial SSU rRNA". It matches the Rfam family "Bacterial small subunit ribosomal RNA". The record is from RNAcentral. Lineage: Bacteria; Bacillati; Bacillota; Bacilli; Lactobacillales; Streptococcaceae.
GGCAUGCUAAUACAUGCAAGUGGGAGCAAGGGAACACACUGUGCUUGCACACCGUGUUUUCUUGAGUCGCGAACGGGUGAGUAACGCGUAGGUAACCUGCCUAUUAGCGGGGGAUAACUAUUGGAAACGAUAGCUAAUACCGCAUAAUAUUAAUUAUUGCCUGAUAAUUGAUUGAAAGAUGCAAGCGCAUCACUAGUAGAUGGACCUGCGUUGUAUUAGCUAGUUGGUAAGGUAAGAGCUUACCAAGGCGACGAUACAUAGCCGACCUGAGAGGGUGAUCGGCCACACUGGGACUGAGACACGGCCCAGACUCCUACGGGAGGCAGCAGUAGGGAAUCUUCGGCAAUGGACGAAAGUCUGACCGAGCAACGCCGCGUGAGUGAAGAAGGUUUUCGGAUCGUAAAGCUCUGUUGUAAGUCAAGAACGUGUGUGAGAGUGGAAAGUUCACACAGUGACGGUAGCUUACCAGAAAGGGACGGCUAACUACGUGCCAGCAGCCGCGGUAAUACGUAGGUCCCGAGCGUUGUCCGGAUUUAUUGGGCGUAAAGGGAGCGCAGGCGGUCAGGAAAGUCUGGAGUAAAAGGCUAUGGCUCAACCAUAGUGUGCUCUGACCCAAAAUUUAAGGUUGUUGGCUCCUUGGAAACUGUCCUGACCUUGAGUUGCCAGAAAGGGGGGAGAGUUGGAAUUCCAUGUGUAGCGGUGAAAAUGCGUAGAUAUAUGGAGGAACACCAGUGGCGAAAGCGGCUCUCUGGUCUGUCACUGACGCUGAGGCUCGAUAGCGUGGGUAGCGAACAGGAUUAGAUACCCUGGUAGUCCACGCCGUAAACGAUGAGUGCUAGGUGUUAGGCCCUUUCCGGGGCUUAGUGCCGGAGCUAACGCAAUAAGCACUCCGCCUGGGGAGUACGACCGCAAGGUUGAAACUCAAAGGAAUUGACGGGGGCCCGCACAAGCGGUGGAGCAUGUGGUUUAAUUCGAAGCAACGCGAAGAACCUUACCAGGUCUUGACAUCCCGAUGCUAUUCUUAGAGAUAGGAAGUUACUUCGGUACAUCGGAGACAGGUGGUGCAUGGUUGUCGUCAGCUCGUGUCGUGAGAUGUUGGGUUAAGUCCCGCAACGAGCGCAACCCUUAUUGUUAGUUGCCAUCAUUAAGUUGGGCACUCUAGCGAGACUGCCGGUAAUAAACCGGAGGAAGGUGGGGAUGACGUCAAAUCAUCAUGCCCCUUAUGACCUGGGCUACACACGUGCUACAAUGGUCGGUACAACGAGUUGCGAGCCGGUGACGGCAAGCUAAUCUCUGAAAGCCGAUCUCAGUUCGGAUUGGAGGCUGCAACUCGCCUCCAUGAAGUCGGAAUCGCUAGUAAUCGCGGAUCAGCACGCCGCGGUGAAUACGUUCCCGGGCCUUGUACACACCGCCCGUCACACCACGAGAGUUUGUAACACCCGAAGUCGGUGAGGUAACCUUUUAGGGGCCAGCCGCCUAAGGUGGGAUGGAUGAUUGGGGUGAAGUC